UGGUUUAUGCCUACAAAUCCAACCCUAUCACUGCUAUACCUCUUUAAAAUUUCUCACCAAUCUUUAAAAUCAAACCAGAAAAAUUAGUCUUUUCCACCCUUUUUAUGUAAGAAAUUCCAUGGAAGAAAUUGCAUCUUUUCUGGCGUAAUCUGCAUUUGGCCUUAAUUUCAAAAUUGCUUGUUUUUCCAGAGAAACUAAAGGACUUUCCUGAGGAAUUGCAACCAAGUAAUCAUGAAGUAGAAAUCGAUGCACCUUUCGAUUUCAAGUGUUCCAGCAAGUGAGAGCUGAACUUAUGGAGCUUCUGAAUGGGAUUCGGGCUUCCAAUAGUACUGAAGUGCCAGGCACUGAAUCUGAAUGGAAGAAAAGGCAUUUUGUUGCGCAUGCUGACUGGAAGCAAAGACAAGAGGAGAGUUGGGAGGAGGUGCAGGAGCCAGUAUUGAGGUCAAUACUUAGGUAAAUGGGAAAACAUAGUUCAUCAUGUGCAGUUUGUGUCUCAUGUGCGUCGUCAGCUGUUUUCAGAUGCUUCAAAGAGUCGGGCUUCUCUACGAAAGCGUCUUGAAAAGGAGAGAAAGCAACUUCAGCAUUGUGUUAGUCUGCUGUCAUGUUUCUGUGGACGAAGUCACGCAAGAGGACUAUUUGUUGCCUUGGCAUAAUCCUGCAGGGAACAAGGGAGAAACAUUUGCUUUGAAGAAGAAAAUAGUUGAUAUACAUGAACACAUGACCAGGUACAUCGAGGAAUUGCCUGUGCUCAUUCAAGAGAUGGUAUCAACUGUUCUUUUCUUCAAGAAAAAAUCAACACCUUGGAAGACAGAAUCAACACCGUGAACAAUGAGGCCAUCAAAAACCAAGAAAACCAUGGAUUGGUGAUGUUGCUGCUGGAAUCAAAGGAAUUCUACACAGACCUUCUCCUAGAAGCAACAGAUGUAUUUGAAUGUAUAGACACUGACAUAGAGAUCGUGGUGUAUUUUGAGGAAGGGGAGGUGCAACC
This is a long non-coding RNA of Lineus longissimus, 988 nucleotides long. RefSeq lists it as uncharacterized. NCBI's taxonomy places the organism in Eukaryota, Metazoa, Nemertea, Pilidiophora, Heteronemertea, Lineidae. The transcript is spliced from 5 exons. The record is from RefSeq and is a predicted model, not a curated record.